Molecule: unclassified non-coding RNA, 355 nt
Filed under: plant metagenome
Description: partial contains small subunit ribosomal RNA, internal transcribed spacer 1, and 5.8S ribosomal RNA
Source: RNAcentral
UCUCCGUAGGUGAACCUGCGGAGGGAUCAUUGAAUCUAUCAUACCGUUUACCUGCUCACCCAGUCGUUAAGUGCCCCCGGCGCCGGCCCUCACGGGCCGGCCCGGGCGCUUGUUCCUGGCCUCGCCACUGGCCGACCCUGGUUGUCGGUGAAGACUUGGCAAAGGUCUUGCGGUGCGGGCCCUGCCUCUCCCUCGGGAGAGGGGGGCGGUCUUCACGGACCGCCUCGCCCGCUGGCCGAAAUCCAACCCCCACUAACCAAACACCAGACUGAAGCUGAAGCUCGGAGGAAGGCUGCCGAAAGGCAGCCCGACUCACAAACCUAGACAACUCUCAACAACGGAUAUCUUGGCUCCC